GAUGAACGCUAGCGGCAGGCCUAAUACAUGCAAGUCAAGGGGCUCGCAAGAGCACCGGCGGACGGGUGCGUAACGCGUACACAACGUACCUCAGAGCGGGGGAUAGCAUUGGGAAACUGGUGGUAAAACCCCAUGGUGUUGCUGAAUGGCAUCAUUUAGCAACUAAAGUUUACACUUUGAGAUCGGUGUGCGUCUGAUUAGCUAGUUGGCGGGGUAACGGCCCACCAAGGCGACGAUCAGUAGGGGGUGUGAGAGCAUGACCCCCCACAUGGUACGUNAGGACACGGACCCGAACCUACCUACCGGGAAGGGC
Molecule: ribosomal RNA, 313 nt
Filed under: uncultured bacterium
Lineage: Bacteria
Description: bacterial SSU rRNA
Rfam family: Bacterial small subunit ribosomal RNA
Source: RNAcentral